GAUGCCAGCGUGCGGCUCUGAAUACCGGACGGUUCCUCCAGGCUCUCGGCCGCCUUCUCCGACGGAAGAUCGCAUCCAAAUCAGGAUAGCUUAUUCCUUCGGCGGCAUAGAAAGAUGGGCGUUAUGAACCGGGAUUUAGAAGGUCAGAUAACGGCCGAUGCUAGCGCGGCGG
This 172-nucleotide small RNA is filed under the name Sinorhizobium meliloti 2011. Its description in RNAcentral is "putative ncRNA". Lineage: Bacteria; Pseudomonadati; Pseudomonadota; Alphaproteobacteria; Hyphomicrobiales; Rhizobiaceae. The record is from RNAcentral.